GACGAACGCUGGCGGCGUGCUUAACACAUGCAAGUCGAACGGAAAGGCCCUGCUUUUGUGGGGUGCUCGAGUGGCGAACGGGUGAGUAACACGUGAGUAACCUGCCCUUGUCUUUGGGAUAACUUCAGGAAACUGGGGCUAAUACCGGAUAGGAGCUCCUGCUGCAUGGUGGGGGUUGGAAAGUUUUGGCGGUGGGGGAUGGACUAGCGGCUUAUCAGCUUGUUGGUGGGGUAGUGGCUUACCAAGGCUUUGACGGGUAGCCGGCCUGAGAGGGUGACCGGCCACAUUGGGACUGAGAUACGGCCCAGACUGCUACGGGAGGCAGCAGUGGGGAAGAGUGCACAAUGGGCGGAAGCCUGAUGCAGCAACGCCGCGUGCGGGAUGACGGCCUUCGGGUUGUAAACCGCUUUCGCCUGUGACGAAGCGUGAGUGACGGUAAUGGGUAAAGAAGCACCGGCUAACUACGUG
This 468-nucleotide ribosomal RNA is filed under the name uncultured bacterium. Its description in RNAcentral is "partial 16S ribosomal RNA". It matches the Rfam family "Bacterial small subunit ribosomal RNA", at positions 28 to 507 of the family's 1533-position model. The record is from RNAcentral.